GGGAAGGUGGCUCAGUGGUAGAGCACUUGCCUUGCAUGCCUGAGGCCCUGAGUUUGAUCCUCAGCACCCCA
This 71-nucleotide transfer RNA is filed under the name Dipodomys ordii (Ord's kangaroo rat). It matches the Rfam family "tRNA". From Rfam's summary of the family: Transfer RNA (tRNA) molecules are approximately 80 nucleotides in length. Their secondary structure includes four short double-helical elements and three loops (D, anti-codon, and T loops). The record is from Rfam by way of RNAcentral. Lineage: Eukaryota; Metazoa; Chordata; Mammalia; Rodentia; Heteromyidae.